This is an RNA transcript of Manis pentadactyla (Chinese pangolin), 3386 nucleotides long. It is a transcript of the gene named FXYD domain containing ion transport regulator 2, with no coding region annotated. The record is from RefSeq and is a predicted model, not a curated record. The transcript is spliced from 8 exons. NCBI's taxonomy places the organism in Eukaryota, Metazoa, Chordata, Mammalia, Pholidota, Manidae.
GCGGCUCCCAGGACCUGUGUGCCCCACUGCUCAGGCCAUCUUGAAGCCAGCACUUAAGGAAUGGACCCUCCAGGGCCCACCUCCUCCAGCCCCGCCUUAUAAGACCCCAGUGAGCCUGGCGUCUGCAGCCAAGCAGGAGGCUGGAGCCAGCACUUCUCAGGGUUCAGGACGUCUGGGCAGCACAGAUGGGGCCUGGGAGCUGCCACCUGCCCUGCCAAGUGGUCACAGUUGCUGUGCAACUGAGACCAACCAGAGCCAGGAAUCUGGGCUUUCUAGGUACUUCUGGCUUCUUCCAGCGGCAAGCCAACAUCACGAGGAUGAUUGGGGCGCUGGAGUCCAAGGCUGUGCGCUCUGACAUGCUGCCCCUAGGCAGGCAUGGCUGGCGGAGCUGGAGACCACCACCCCGGGAAGGCUGGCGGUGAGGCCUUUGCCACAUUGCUGGCUUUUGCGCACCCAGAGGACAUAGCUCAGCUGAUGUCCCAGCACACUACCCACCCUCACCCCCGAUCCAGUAAUGAUCGCUCCAGGCUGCUGCUCUGGACUGAAGCGUCAGGGGACAAAUGGAGGCCUGUUGGGGAAGACAGGGGAGACUGGGGCGUGGCAACUAAGGACACUGUCCCAUUGGGUGCAACAGGGUUGGAAGAGGGGUCUGAGUGUUGCAGUCACCUCUCCAUGCCCCCCAAGGAUCGCCUUCAUCUGGGGUCUCUGUGGGGGCAGCAGGGCAUGGCUGGAUGGACCUCUUUGACUCUAGCCCGGAAUAGCCAGACAAAGGGAGGGGCUGGGGGGCCUUUGCCUGCCCUGUAGCCCUUCUGGAGCAGCAGACUAGCAUCCCCACCCCAUGUGGCCCCUUAUCCCAGGAAAGACUAGAAGAACACGCAGGGGCCAGACACCAGCCGGGAACAGCAGUGCUGUGGGGGUGCCUGGGUGUGUGGUUGAUUGGUUGAUUGGCAGAGACCAUAUUGUGGGUCGGGGAGGGGAAGUUGCCCUGGGAACCUGCUGCAGAGGUCAUCCCGGCAGGGGACUGAGCCCAGGGAAGGGGUUACAGUGGUCGUCCUUGCCUCAUGGAAGGCCAUCUCAGGGUACGGAUAACGAAGCUGGCAUUUAUUAGCACCUUCUUUGGCCAGGCCGUUUACCUACACCAUCUCAAUUUCUUCAACAACCCUGCAAGGGCGAGGCUGCAGCAGGCCCUGGCUGAGAUCUCCACUUUUCUGGACCACGGAUGCACUUGGACCAGGUAACCUCUCAAGUCUCAUCCCGCCCUGAGAUUUACGAGCCUUUGCAAGUGCCCAGCUCGGGGAAUUUCCAUUCGGCAGCUCUGCGCCAUCUGAGUGUGCAAUUUCCACCUGGUAACAUGUGACGAGGCCUGGCCGGGCAGGCCAGGCACUGGGCAGGGUGUCCCUGCCUUGGGAGCGGUGUGGAAAGGAGCCUGGAGUCAGGACAGCCUGCUUGGGCCCCCAGCACAAAUCUCAGCCCAUCAGAUAUCACUGCUCCAGGCCUGCUGGGGUCCAUUUCCAGGGCAUUUUCUAGCCUGGAAGCAGCUCUCUUUUGGGUGGGGGGCCAGUCAUUAGUCAACCCCUGAGGGCAGGAAGUGGUGCUAGUGAGGGACAGAGAGGUGAGCUGUCAUCUGAGGGGAGCGGAGGGUGAGAGGCUGGGGCCAGAACCAGCACCUCCCAGCCCCUGCUCUUCAGUGUGGGUGUUUGGAGGGGCUGGACAGGGUGGCCUGCGAGGAACCCGAGGCAGAUGCUGUGGUCCCAGAGAGCCACACAGAGACUGCCUGACACAGCUUUGCUCAGGGUGGUUAGAGGGCCCAGCUGGCCAAGGAACAGAGACUUGGUUGAGUCAGUUCCUGGGGCUGCCCUGCCCCGCCUUCCGGCCAGUCCCCUCUGGCACAGACCAGGCCCCCAGAGGCCUCGUGGGGCUGCUGGCGUCUCCCCCAGGACUGCGGAGGUGCGGCAGGCAGGCCUGAUGCCAUAGCCUUUGGUAAGCCACUGGGGGCUAAGCGCAGGGUGCCCCUGGGAGCAGCCCCACUCCGGCUCCCCCUCCAGCCCCUGGCGGCUCCCCAUCUCUGCCCUACGACUGGAAUGACACAGCAGGAAUCAUGCCCUGAAAAGCCUUCCCACCCCACCGAGGGCAGCUUCCAAGGGGCUGCUGCUGUCCUGUCCGGCCUCAGAGGACUCCUCGCCUCCCUCGGAGCAGGGCCUGGGCAGGCUGGCUCGGGGCAAAGGCCCCACAGGGCUGGCGGGAGGAGGUGCAGCUGAGUAAGGGCCCCGGGGGAGGGCGGUGGGGGGUGCCCAAAUGCCCCUGAGUGUCAGCCUCCACCGGCCUGGAGGCUCUGGUUGUGCUGGCUCGGGGUGACCUUAGCAGGCACCCUAGGCCGUCUGGGGGACCCCGGCUGUGACACCUCUCCCCUGGCGGGGGAGGGCCCGUGUGGGGCUGCUGGAGGCCUCACCUUCGCCUGCAGCUCACCCUUCCCUGGGUGCCCUGGGGGAGGUCAGAGAGUCUCGCAGGCUCUCCCGUGGGUCCCGCCCCCCGCAGGCAGGCCCAGGUGAGGGCUCCCUGGCCGGCCCCUCCUCCCUGCCUUUGUCUCUUCCUGUCCCUGGGCUUGGCCGAGGUGUGGAAGGAAGGAGCGCCACUCUCCUUCCGGGCCCUGGGCAACAGGCACUGCACGCUCUCCCCUCCGAGGACACGCCAGCAGCUCCGGCCAUGGACAGGUGGUACCUGGGGGGCAGCGCCAAGGGGAACGUGGACCCAUUCCACUAUGACUACGACACUGUCCGCAACGGGGGCCUGAUCUUCGCUGCCCUGGCCUUCAUCGUGGGACUCAUCAUCAUCCUCAAAGAAAAAUACCCAGAGACACAAACAUCUCCCUGUCCUGGGAUCGUAACACAUCCAUGGCUGGUGCCGCUCGGUCGGAAGGCUUCAGACUGCAGACACGGCUGGUCUCCCCGACGCCCUGCAAGCUCCUUGAGGACAGUCCCGUGUAGUGGUUGAGCGUGCAGGUAAAAGACUCCGCUGUGGGGCCAAGAAACCCCGGCAAGUCCUUGAAGAUGAGCUGUAAUGACGGAGUCAGCUGUGCCCACCACAGGCCUGGGCCGUUGGGAAGCCUUCCCUGAGCUGUGGACCUUUGUACCCAGCACUGCCCUUGGGCAGCAGGAAGCGCCAGGCUCCAUGUGGCUCUGGGUGGGCAUCCGGUCCUGCCACCCCAGCCGCCUCAUGCUAAUAAUAAAGCCUGCCUCACGGCUCCCUCCCAGCCUGCCUCCCUCCCUCCUCUGUCUUACCCCCACCACAACUGGCUCUUCCACGUCGGAGGGCAACGCGGCCUCUCUUGAUUUUGGAUGGUCGCUCAGGCACCCAUGCUUAUUAAAGCAAGAAGUUCAUCAUCACCA